RNAcentral lists this ribosomal RNA (382 nucleotides) under uncultured archaeon. Its description in RNAcentral is "bacterial SSU rRNA". It matches the Rfam family "Archaeal small subunit ribosomal RNA", at positions 345 to 727 of the family's 1478-position model. The record is from RNAcentral.
AAACUUUACAAUGCCGGCAACGGCGAUAAGGGGACCUCGAGUGCCAGGAUACAAUCCUGGCUGUCGUAAUGCCUAAAAAGCAUUAUAUAGCAAGGGCCGGGCAAGACCGGUGCCAGCCGCCGCGGUAACACCGGCGGCUCGAGUGGUAACCGUUAUUAUUGGGUCUAAAGGGUCUGUAGCCGGCCGGAUAAGUCUCUUGGGAAAUCUGGCAGCUUAACUGUCAGGCUUUCAGGGGAUACUGUCUGGCUCGAGGCCGGGAGAGGUGAGAGGUACUUCAGGGGUAGGGGUGAAAUCUUGUAAUCCUUGAAGGACCACCAGUGGCGAAGGCGUCUCACCAGAACGGACCUGACGGCAAGGGACGAAAGCUAGGGGCACGAACCGG